RNAcentral lists this ribosomal RNA (996 nucleotides) under Candidatus Phytoplasma pyri. Its description in RNAcentral is "bacterial SSU rRNA". It matches the Rfam family "Bacterial small subunit ribosomal RNA", at positions 545 to 1533 of the family's 1533-position model. The record is from RNAcentral. Lineage: Bacteria; Bacillati; Mycoplasmatota; Mollicutes; Acholeplasmatales; Acholeplasmataceae.
CCGGAUUUAUUGGGCGUAAAGGGUGCGUAGGCGGUUUAAUAAGUCUAUGGUCUAAGUUCAACGCUUAACGUUGUGAUGCUAUAGAAACUGUUUGACUAGAGUUGGAUAGAGGCAAGUGGAAUUCCAUGUGUAGCGGUAAAAUGCGUAAAGAUAUGGAGGAACACCAGUAGCGAAGGCGGCUUGCUGGGUCUUAACUGACGCUGAGGCACGAAAGCGUGGGGAGCAAACAGGAUUAGAUACCCUGGUAGUCCACGCCGUAAACGAUGAGUACUAAGUGUUGGGUUAAACCAGUGCUGAAGUUAACGCAUUAAGUACUCCGCCUGAGUAGUACGUACGCAAGUAUGAAACUUAAAGGAAUUGACGGGACUCCGCACAAGCGGUGGAUCAUGUUGUUUAAUUCGAAGAUACACGAAAAACCUUACCAGGUCUUGACAUACUCUGCAAAGCUAUAGAAAUAUAGUGGAGGUUAUCAGGGAUACAGGUGGUGCAUGGUUGUCGUCAGCUCGUGUCGUGAGAUGUUGGGUUAAGUCCCGCAACGAGCGCAACCCUUAUCGCUAGUUACCAUCAUUUAGUUGGGCACUUUAGUGAGACUGCCAAUGAUAAAUUGGAGGAAGGUGGGGAUUACGUCAAAUCAUCAUGCCCCUUAUGACCUGGGCUACAAACGUGAUACAAUGGCUGUUACAAAGAGUAGCUGAAGCGUGAGUUUUUAGCAAAUCUCAAAAAAACAGUCUCAGUUCGGAUUGAAGUCUGCAACUCGACUUCAUGAAGUCGGAAUCGCUAGUAAUCGCGAAUCAGCAUGUCGUGGUGAAUACGUUCUCGGGGUUUGUACACACCGCCCGUCAAACCAUGAAAGUUGACAAUACCCGAAACCAGUAGCCUAACUUGCAAAAGAGGGAACUGUCUAAGGUAGGGUUGAUGAUUGGGGUUAAGUCGUAACAAGGUAUCCCUACCGGAAGGUGGGGAUGGAUCACCUCCUUUCUAAGGAAAAUAUCAUCU